GAGGACGCGUGUGCAGGGGGCGGGGAAAUGGGUGGGUGGGGGGGGUUAUACGGAAUGACUUGGAGUAAAGCGCAAGCAGGCUGUCUGGUAAGUUGGACGUAAAAUCUCCGGGCUUAACGGGGAGGGGUCGUUGGAGACUGGCAGACUUGAGGCGAUGAGAGGGGCAUGGAAUUCCCGGUGUAGUGGUGGAAUGCGUAGAGAUCGGGAGGAACACCAGAGGCGAAAGCGGUGCCCUGGCAUUGGCCUGACGCUGAGAUGCGAAAGCGUGGGGAGCGAACGGGAUUAGAUACCCGAGUAGUC
Molecule: ribosomal RNA, 300 nt
Filed under: uncultured Desulfurococcus sp.
Lineage: Archaea; Thermoproteati; Thermoproteota; Thermoprotei; Desulfurococcales; Desulfurococcaceae
Description: bacterial SSU rRNA
Rfam family: Bacterial small subunit ribosomal RNA (bases 52-300)
Source: RNAcentral